AGCAGCCGCGGUAAUUCCAGCUCCAAUAGCGUAUAUUAAAGUUGUUGCAGUUAAAAAGCUCGUAGUUGAAUUUCGAGACCGGUUUAUUGGUCGUGCUUUUGUACGUACUGGUAUUAUUGGUUUCUCCUUUCUGACGAAUCUUAAUGCCAUUAAUUUGGUGUUUUGGGGAAUCAGGACUGUUACUUUGAAAAAAUUGAGUGUUUAAAGCAGGCUCACGCUUGAAUACAUUAGCAUGGAAUAACGGAAUAGGACGUUUGAUUCUAUUUUGUUGGUUUCUAGGAUCGCCGUAAUGAUUAAUAGGGAUAGUUGGGGGCAUUAGUAUUCAAUUGUCAGAGGUGAAAUUCUUGGAUUUAUUGAAGACUAACUACUGCGAAAGCAU
Molecule: unclassified non-coding RNA, 379 nt
Filed under: uncultured Entrophospora
Lineage: Eukaryota; Fungi; Glomeromycota; Glomeromycetes; Entrophosporales; Entrophosporaceae
Description: SSU rRNA
Rfam family: Eukaryotic small subunit ribosomal RNA
Source: RNAcentral